Molecule: ribosomal RNA, 464 nt
Filed under: uncultured Klebsiella sp.
Lineage: Bacteria; Pseudomonadati; Pseudomonadota; Gammaproteobacteria; Enterobacterales; Enterobacteriaceae
Description: bacterial SSU rRNA
Rfam family: Bacterial small subunit ribosomal RNA
Source: RNAcentral
CUACGGGGGGCUGCAGUGGGGAAUAUUGCACAAUGGGCGCAAGCCUGAUGCAGCCAUGCCGCGUGUGUGAAGAAGGCCUUCGGGUUGUAAAGCACUUUCAGCGGGGAGGAAGGCGUUAAGGUUAAUAACCUUGGCGAUUGACGUUACCCGCAGAAGAAGCACCGGCUAACUCCGUGCCAGCAGCCGCGGUAAUACGGAGGGUGCAAGCGUUAAUCGGAAUUACUGGGCGUAAAGCGCACGCAGGCGGUCUGUCAAGUCGGAUGUGAAAUCCCCGGGCUCAACCUGGGAACUGCAUGCGAAACUGGCAGGCUAGAGUCUUGUAGAGGGGGGUAGAAUUCCAGGUGUAGCGGUGAAAUGCGUAGAGAUCUGGAGGAAUACCGGUGGCGAAGGCGGCCCCCUGGACAAAGACUGACGCUCAGGUGCGAAAGCGUGGGGAGCAAACAGGAUUAGAUACCCGAGUAGUC